CUCACCCCCCACCAGGGUGGGGUCCUCUUUCCACUCUCUUCUUUGGAGCCUGGAUCCUUCCCAGCACUGGCCUGGGACCCAGUGCCCGCUCCCCUUCUGCCAGCUCGUUUCCCGGCACCGCCUGACCCUGGACCAGCUGUGAGCGACCAGAAGCCUACAGGAGCAGGCUGCUGGCAGCUGGGAGGUGGAACGUAGCAGUCCGCUGGGCCCCUACAGGCUGGCUCAAGCUCUGGGAGGACAGGCAGGAUGGCAAGCAGGCCCCAGCAGCCUUCUGGAGGAAUUUCUGAAUUACCUACUGGCUGAAGACCAGAGGCUAAAGCAGGCCUGGGCUGGCCCGACUGGCUGAGGCCCUGAACAGCUUUUCUCUUGGCUCCGGGCCUCACCCCCACUGCCCUCCUCCCUACACCCCUCUCUGUGCCUGCCAGAGCUGCAGCCUCCUCUUGGAGGGCCAGUUCUGGCUGGAGGAGCUCUUCUGCCCGCCCCCCAUCUUCUCCCCAGGGGGAAGAGGCAGCCAAGGGGCCCCCUUCUUCCUGACCUUCCCUGCUGGCUGUUGAGGUCACUUCUGUCCCUUCUCUCCCGGAAGCACACAUUCCGCGCUGGCUGCGCUGAGGGGAGGCCUUGCCAGGACCUGCAUGAGGGGAGGAAGAAGGAAGGCGAUUGAGUUGGGAUUCCAACACAUGCCAGCCUGGUGCCCCCAACCAUUAUGCCGUACUACCUCAUUGUCACCUGAAGCCUCCCUUGACAAACUUCUGAAGGUCCUGGGAAUAGACUCAAAUGGAGCCCUGCAUCCAGCCUCGGCUAGAAAGGAGUCGGUCAUCGUUGGCCUUGGGUUCAGAGAAGAAGCUUGGGAGAAGAGGGAGGAGGCCCUGCUCACCCUAAGCCCUGUCCUGUCAAUCGUCUCACUCCUGAGGCUUCAGGUGGACUCAGGAGUCAAAUUGGCCUCUGCCUUAGGAAGGUGUCUGGGCACUGUCC
This is a long non-coding RNA of Otolemur garnettii (small-eared galago), 972 nucleotides long. RefSeq lists it as uncharacterized. The transcript is spliced from 3 exons. NCBI's taxonomy places the organism in Eukaryota, Metazoa, Chordata, Mammalia, Primates, Galagidae. The record is from RefSeq and is a predicted model, not a curated record.